GCGAGUUGGCGUGCGGCUUUCGGGCCGAAAUUAUGAGGCCUGAGGAAACUCUGCCCACGUGUAGAACUGCAACACCCGCAAGGGUGUAGGGCGAGAGCCCUGGCUCCGGAGCAGAAACGAAACGUCCGCCCCGCACAUGCCAAUGAGGCAUGCUAAGUUGUCGAGAAUGCAGGGCGGAAACGGUGAAACGGCCGUCCUGCAGGUGUAAAGGGCAAAUAAGCGCCAAUGAGGAUUCUACCCAAGGCGCGGGUAGCCCG
Molecule: RNase P RNA, 257 nt
Filed under: Candidatus Bathyarchaeota archaeon
Lineage: Archaea; Thermoproteati; Candidatus Bathyarchaeota
Description: partial RNase P RNA component
Rfam family: Archaeal RNase P
About the family: Ribonuclease P (RNase P) is a ubiquitous endoribonuclease, found in archaea, bacteria and eukarya as well as chloroplasts and mitochondria. Its best characterised activity is the generation of mature 5'-ends of tRNAs by cleaving the 5'-leader elements of precursor-tRNAs.
Source: RNAcentral